RNAcentral lists this long non-coding RNA (799 nucleotides) under Fukomys damarensis (Damara mole-rat). RNAcentral describes it as "lncRNA (ENSFDAG00000032547.1)". Lineage: Eukaryota; Metazoa; Chordata; Mammalia; Rodentia; Bathyergidae. The record is from RNAcentral.
UAAAAAUAUGAGAAACUGAAAAAAUGGAAAUAAAGUGUUUGUAAAUGGGGAGGGGAGGAGGGGGUGAAGGGAGGGCAGGGACAAGGGGAAAAAAUGAGAAUCAAGACCUAUUAUGUAAAGGUACAGAAUCCCAAUGAUGAAUGUAACUGUAUUGUAUACCUAGAUUGUAGCAAUAAACUCAAUUAAAAAAAAUAUUUUUCUCACAGUUCCAAAAGUUGAACAGUUCAAGAUUAAGGUGAUGGUCAAAUUGGUUUCUGAUGAGGGCUCUCUUCUUGCCUUCUUGUUGUGUCCUUACAUAGUGGAGAAAGAUGGAGAAAGAUCUUCAGCUUUUUAUAAGACCCAGUCCCACCCAGUGCGGGCUCCAUCCUAACCUGAACUACCUCCUGAAGACUCUCUCUCCAGAUAGAGCCACACUGGGAACACAGUUGGCCCAUAGUAUGGACGAAGAAAUGAUUUUUAGGAAAUAUGAGGCUUUUACCAGAUCUGGAAGAGCCGCACAGAUUCCCAGUAUGCCACUAGGCAAUCAGAAUGUGGUGAGAUUUUUAUAACCAUGGAAAUCAGAUUGCUGAGGCUGAGACAUGAACAGAAAGUUUCAUACCCACCUUUGUAACAGCACUGUCCACAAGACCGAAAAGGUAGAUACAACCCCAAUGUCUGUGGACAGAGCAAUGAAUAAUCAAGAUGAGGUCACCUGAUACAGCGGGAUAUGAUUCAUUCUUCAACAAGGAAGGAGAUCCUGGUCCAUACUGGGAUGGAGAUGAACACCGAAGAAAGCACGGUGAGUAAAAUAAACUAGAUG